UGAAUGGGCUAUUGGUAGAAAAGGAA
This 26-nucleotide non-coding RNA is filed under the name Rattus norvegicus (Norway rat). The record is from RNAcentral. Lineage: Eukaryota; Metazoa; Chordata; Mammalia; Rodentia; Muridae.